Molecule: non-coding RNA, 326 nt
Organism: Punica granatum (pomegranate)
Lineage: Eukaryota; Viridiplantae; Streptophyta; Magnoliopsida; Myrtales; Lythraceae
Source: RefSeq, a predicted model, not a curated record
GUGGAUUCCAGUAGAGGCGUCACGCGUGGGACGCUCGGUCGACAAUUUUAAAUAUUCCAGGAAGCGAAAGUAACUGCCAGUGCACGUACGGGACCAAGCGGUGAUGCUCGGCUGGCACGUUCGUGGUCAGGACCACUACACCUUGACGGGAUCUAAGAUCCCUUUCCUGGUGCACGUGUGAUCCCAUUCGUUGGAUGACAAGGAAAAUGUUGCUUGACAUUAUAUAAUGCGAUAUUCGAUUAAACUCUGCCACAAGCUGAUAUCAUGGUCUAUUGCAUUGAACGUCUUCCAGGAUCAAUGUUGAGCACAGCAUAAUUGUUUCCGGA